UCCGUAGGCGGGCAGCUAAGUCAGUGGUGAAAGUCUGCAGCUCAACUGUAGAAUUGCCAUUGAUACUGGUUGUCUUGAAUUAUUAUGAAGUGGUUAGAAUAUGUAGUGUAGCGGUGAAAUGCAUAGAUAUUACAUAGAAUACCAAUUGCGAAGGCAGAUCACUAAUAAUAUACUGACACUGAGGGACGAAAGCGUGGGGAGCGAACAGGAUUAGAUACCCUGGUAGUCC
This 229-nucleotide ribosomal RNA is filed under the name uncultured bacterium. RNAcentral's name for it is "partial 16S ribosomal RNA". It matches the Rfam family "Bacterial small subunit ribosomal RNA", at positions 568 to 796 of the family's 1533-position model. The record is from RNAcentral.